UAAGAUUCAGAACAGAACGAAGCCACAUCCGGACGAAUUCGGAUCCCUCAAGCGUGCGCAUUUUUAGAGACACCAACGCUGCCGGUGACCUGCUGGCUGCCUUUCUCGCCUAGGACGUGGACGUGGAAGGACGUUGUGUUGUUUUGAAGUGCCUCUGUGGUGAGAAGUGUACCCUGGUGUGGGUGAGGUACCAGUUUCGGACAGCGAGCUGACAGGCGCCAGACUGCGGUGGUGAUCAGCUGACGGGAGCUUCCAGCUGAGCCUGUGAGCCAACAAGUCAAAGGUUGCUCCUCUGCCGUCUCGUGACGGACCAUCUGCCCGGCGUCAACAUCUGCAGGAGACGAGUGAGCGCACAAGAGACAAGAUAAUGGAAGACCCACUAAGCAAGCGUUCAGGAAAGCCCAACAGGGGAGAGCAAAACAACACUACAACUCCUGAGGAGAUUGAUGACAUCACUCUGCAGAUGGUUAUUAUUGUAUAUAUUUGUUAAACAAUUGAAGUAAACUAUUAAUUUUUGUGCUUGCCAUUUAUUGUUAUGUACAUGUAUGGUUCCUCUUAACAUGAUAGACAAAAGGAGGUCACUUCCGUAAUCCAGUAUGUUUGUUACACAGCAUGAGAAAUAUCACUGGGAAAGAAUCUAACUGGUGGAAUGAAUUAUUCUAAAAUUCAAGUUACCUAAACCUGUUUGUCAAAUCAACAUGAACUUAUUAAUUAUAAACUUAUUAUUAUUAACUUGUUAUUGCACUUGAAUAUAACCUCAAAUCAAUAUCAUCUCA
Molecule: long non-coding RNA, 776 nt
Filed under: Portunus trituberculatus (swimming crab)
Lineage: Eukaryota; Metazoa; Arthropoda; Malacostraca; Decapoda; Portunidae
Description: uncharacterized LOC123505035, transcript variant X1
Source: RNAcentral